AACUCAGCUCAGCUGGAGGAUGCUGGGGAAAGAGGACAGACAUACCAUGAGGGCUCCUGGACAAGGGUGCUGAAGAAGCCUCCCUCUGGGGAAUAGGACAGAAUGCUGAGCCCAGUUGGGGCUGAAGUAACCAAGGUGGUGGCUCGCCCUAAAGGAAUUGCUAGGGAAAGCUGCGGCUAGCUUGCUUUCUGUUGAAAGGACACGGAUACAGCCUUCCGAUCAAGAACAGACAAGCAGCACAACUUCUGCAGAUGCCAUCCCAACACUGGCUGUAUGUUUCCACCUGCCUGUCUCCACUCCUCCUACCCCUUAAUGGAUACAUGGGUAGCUGCAAAGAGAACCUAGCAGGAAAUGUUGCUUGAAACACCAUUAUUCCUCCUUGAAUUCCAAUGACUUCCAUCUCAGCAAGGGGGUAACACUGUAGGAGACAAGCUGCUCUCCAGU
This is a long non-coding RNA of Mauremys reevesii (Reeves's turtle), 444 nucleotides long. RefSeq lists it as uncharacterized. The transcript has 3 exons. NCBI's taxonomy places the organism in Eukaryota, Metazoa, Chordata, Testudines, Geoemydidae. The record is from RefSeq and is a predicted model, not a curated record.